Molecule: long non-coding RNA, 1856 nt
Organism: Dendrobium catenatum
Lineage: Eukaryota; Viridiplantae; Streptophyta; Magnoliopsida; Asparagales; Orchidaceae
Exons: 4
Source: RefSeq, a predicted model, not a curated record
UUCUACAUUUAUAUCUCUCAAGGGCCGACAGCGGCUUCCACCUGAAACCCCUCCGUGGGCUUAAAACCCCAUAUUCGCCAUCUCGCCGGAGCUUUACCACCAUGCGCCGGGCUCCUCAUAUGUCUAUUUUAUUUCUCACCUGUUUGAUGACUCUUCUGGGGAAGCCCACAGCCCAGCCAUUGGACUUUGGACCUUGCGAAGCUGGUAGCCUGAGAUGAGGUUUCUGUGAAGAUCUACACCGAGAACGCUCCGAUGGAGCCUUGGAAACAGGAAAGCAGUUGGCUACGACGAGGAAAUGCCGCUGCAUUUUGAUCAGAUAUGUUGAGCAAGGUAAGUGUUUGGAAUCAAAUUCCAACAUCCGACUCUUCUUCAGGUUAAGGAUAUCUCCUGGCUAAGAUGGCUGUCAAGAGAAAGAGAGGCUUAGCUUGUCAAAGACCUUGAUUCAAGCUGCAGGUUGGGCUCUAGGUAGUUGGAGGCUGUGAGAAGGUCCUAGCUUCCUUCUUCCUUGGGGUUUGAAAGCUUGAGCCAUAAGGGAUGGGGUGAGGGUGGUGAGAACAUAGAGAGUUUUUCUUCCUCACUAUAAAUUGAAAGAGUGGUAGAUCAGGAAGGCAGCUUCUAUCCGGAUUAGAUUCUUUGUGAUAAUCGAAUCUACAAUCGGGAUUCUACUCUUCAUUUUCUUUCAUUCUUGUUUCGAUUCUCUGGAGGGCGGUAGAUGUGCUGUUCAAUUCUUGUGCUUGGGCUGAAAUUGAAAAGCUUGGUGGCUAGAGGAUCUGUGAUCAGAGUGGUAAAAGGGCUUGUUAUUCUUGUAAUCAGAUGGACAUUACAUCAAUAAAUCUAAGUCCCAAUUUGUCACCGUGGAUGUAGGCAUCCGCGUGUGAAACCACGGGUCCCUUCAUUCUGAGGCUUAAUUUCAAAUCUGUUUGAUGAAAUGCCUCCACAACAUUUGCAUCCAGCUGUUGGGGUACCUAAAAAGCUGAUAUGUAUUCGGCGCGCAGGAAGGUUGGUACACACAAAAUUAAAGCUCUUAACCAAAUAUUUCCUGUCCUAUAUUUGUUAGUUACUAUCUAUUCUUCUGACUCAUCACUACUGGAACUGCUUCUUUUUCUUAGAAAUCACUUUGUCAUGCUUGUUGAUGACUUGAAAUAUAGAGAAAAAUGCUCUGCAAAGCACACUAGAAUGUACAAUUAUAGCCAGGAAAUGCCUAAGUACCAAACCAAGUAAAUUAGUAAAACUUUUUAGGUUGCAUAUCUGCUUUAGAAAAUUUAGGGGAAUCAUCUUUCAGCUCCAAAGUUGACCACUUCUAUAAAGAAAUAUUCCAUGUGUUUUAGAAUGUAUAUAGAAUGACAGUUUGUCAAAGCAAUUAGCUAUAGAGGGGAAUAACUUAGAAUUGAAAAAGGGUAGGAAUGGCUUAAUCAUCCAUUUGUAAAGUUGUUAUGGAUUAAAGAAUUCUUAGGACAAUUUUUCUUAAUCAAACCUUCAGGACCGCACAUGUGUUCUAUGAGAUUUAUAUCAGAAACUUUGGAUUUGCAAUCCUCUUCGCCAUUGCUGCAUGACUUGACCUAUCAGAGCUGAUCCAGUGCAGCCAGAUCUGGCACUGAAUCCUUUUUUUUUUUUUAAUUUUCUGUUAAAAAGCAAAUAUUAUUUAGGUUUUUUUGGGAAACUGGAAUUGGAUGAGUCUUGUCGAGUGACUAUUUAUUGAUUCGACACUACACGAAUUUAUCAAUUGUGUAGUGUCCUAAGUUUUGUACGAAAAAAACGGUGGGAAUGUUGUGAAUUACAAUAAAUUUCAAAAACACCCUUAUUAGAUGUAAUUAAGUGUUGACAUUUAGUUGUUUUUUAUUAUUUUUAUUAUUUUG